AUUAAUACCGCAUACGCCCUGAGGGGGAAAGUGGGGGACCGUAAGGCCUCACGUUAUACGAGCAGCCGAUGUCUGAUUAGCUAGUUGGUGGGGUAAAGGCCUACCAAGGCGACGAUCCAUAGCUGGUCUGAGAGGAUGAUCAGCCACACUGGGACUGAGGCACGGCCCAGACUCCUACGGGAGGCAGCAGUGGGGAAUAUUGGACAAUGGGCGCAAGCCUGAUCCAGCCAUGCCGCGUGAGUGAUGAAGGCCCUAGGGUUGUAAAGCUCUUUCACCGGUGAAGAUAAUGACGGUAACCGGAGAAGAAGCCCCGGCUAACUUCGUGCCAGCAGCCGCGGUAAUACGAAGGGGGCUAGCGUUGUUCGGAUUUACUGGGCGUAAAGCGCACGUAGGCGGGCUAAUAAGUCAGGGGUGAAAUCCCGGGGCUCAACCCCGGAACUGCCUUUGAUACUGUUAGUCUUGAGUAUGGUAGAGGUGAGUGGAAUUCCGAGUGUAGAGGUGAAAUU
This 506-nucleotide ribosomal RNA is filed under the name uncultured bacterium. RNAcentral describes it as "bacterial SSU rRNA". It matches the Rfam family "Bacterial small subunit ribosomal RNA", at positions 162 to 688 of the family's 1533-position model. The record is from RNAcentral.